GGGCGCCGGCGGGGCCCGCACCUCGCAGAGGAAGGUCUGCCGGCUCCGGCCGCCGCCGGGGCGGAUCUGGUAUGCCGGCGUCACCCUUCUCCUCCCGCACCAGGCGUACAGGAGUGCUGUCGGGAGGUACGGGCCGAGUGGUAGAGGGCACGGGACCUCGCAUUUGUCAGAUACACCUACUACUGGACUACAAAAGCUCAAGCUGGUGGACAGGCAUAAGUCCAGGAUGCAAAAGAGGGCUUUUCAAUCUGACAGCAGAUGACUUUCUAACAUGGAUGGAAGACAGUAUUCUGCACUGCAAUAUAGAAAUGUACAGCUCAAUUCUGCCUUCAUUUUGUGGCAAGGAAAAAGAUAAAAGAAAUACCUGGUCAUUAGAGAGCCAAAAGCUUUCUGUUGCAAAAGUUUAAGUUUUGCAUUAAGUGGAGGUGCAGAAAGACAAAGCGAUCAGACAAAAACUGCAAUUAGUCAGUAUCCCAAUGACUCUGUGACUAACAGUAAAAUACCCAUCUAAGCAACUAGACAGUGUCUCACCAAUGUUUAAGAACACACUGUAGCGCUGGAGAUACUUUUGGUGGAAGAGGAGAAAACAUGAUCUAGCUGGAAGGAGGGUAGAGACAGAUCUUCCUCCUUUCCAGAAAAAAAAGGAGUCAGGAUCCUUCAGUGGGGGAAAAUUUGCCUUUUUAAUUUUUUAUCAAAAGAUACCAGCUAGUCCUGCAAUGCAGCGCUGCAAGGGAGCAGAGUAAAGUUACACAAAAAGGUGACUACACAUGUGCCAGCAAGGCCAGCCCUAACAGGAAGGGGCUCAGGCACAUUGCCAAUCCCCUGAAAGAAAUCACUGCUCAUCACGUGCAGAAUGUGCCAAGUGACACUGAAUCCCAGGAAAGGAACCUCCACUUCCAGAUCGACAUGGAAGUGAACAUCAGUCACCAUCAGGCCACACAAUGCUAUCCAACUUGGCUUUGGCCUUGACGAUGAACUCCUCAGAUGCAUCAACAAGCGGAAGCCGCGGAGGUCCCAUGGGAAUGCCAGACACAAAAGUCAUUACAGCUUUAGUCUGUGCAACACCAAAACCUGGGAGGACAAAAGCAAAAUUGGGUCAUUUACAGCUCAUUUUGCUUAAAGCAGUCUCUAUACAGGGGUCCAUAAAAGCAGCACCAUAGAGUUCCUGUGUAACGUGGCAUAAUCCAGACUUGAAGCAGAAUUGAGAACAGUGUAAGAGGAGGUGAUCAUACUUGCAGACAGAGAAGACAUUACAGUAACAAAUACACCUAUUACAUUUACUUGUAUUAUACCAUCAUUGUUUCCCUCCUAAACAUAACAAGCGGACUAUUAGACAUGCACUUUGCAAACUACUGUGUCAAUUUUGCAGAUAACCAGGGUCGUGUGUGUGUUCCUUUCUCCUUGCCAAAAACGUAUUGCCAUGCAGCCCUGACAACAGAAAAGAUGUGAGUCCUCUACAGGUAAACCAAGCAAAAAUGGGGCUACUUCAAAUUUACCUUCACUGGUAGGCUGAGCUAUCUCAGCCAAUUCAUCAUCCCAGCAACCCAAUCUUUGCAGCCUCAUAGCUAUCCUCCAAUGCAGACUCACAUAAAAUAAAGCCCUGGAAGUAGUAACAUCCUGCUGACACGUGACAAUGACAUUGGGUGCCAGUUUAAACCACCAUGGGAAACUUUAGGAGGCCUCUCUGUCCACAGCUCAAGUCUCCUUAUGUACCUCUGGAAAUUUGGUGUUUCUCUUUGCUUAAAAGGCUAAAUAAUUAUGCACUUGCUCUGACUUUUAACCCAAGAAAUACAACCAACCACUAAAGCUCAGCUAGAUUAACUGGGGCUUGCAUAUGUAUAGCAAAACUACAGUGAACCUCUUCAUCAAGUGAAACCAUGAAAUGUCCAACUCAGUCUCCCUACACUAUUCUUAAUUGGUUGGCUUUAACUGCUUUUUAUAUUAAAACUGGGGUUUGUUUGUAAAAAUCAUUCAAUUUCAAAAUGCUUUGUCCUUGUAGAGCCUUGAACAGCAUUACUCUUAAAUUAUAGCAAGGCAGGAAAGACAAGUAUCAGAGCUGUAUUCCUACUGGAGCACCACCAUUUCAGAAAAAUGACUCUCUAGAAACAAAGCUAGAAAUGAGCUUUUGGAAAGAGAACAAAAAAAAAAAAAACCACACCCACAGAAAGAGUCAAGAUAAAAAAAAAGGAUAAAUCAGAGUCACAGCUUUAAAGCUGUGAGAUUGCACAGAAGGAAGAAGGAAGCGAGAGUGGAAUCUGUCAGGGAUGCUUGGUCAGCUCCCUUUUUGAGCUCCCAGCUGCUACUAACUCAGGAAAAAGCACACGCAACAUUUUUUCACUGCAAAAUCUUUCAGGAAGGAAGUUCUGAGGGUACAGCAACUGGAGCACCAAGUCUGCAUUUUCGGCUAUUACAAGGGAAACAGGCAGUGUGGGACUUACCUAGUUUGAUGACAUAGCUGAGAAAUUCCCCAGUGAGAAACUAGAAAAGACAGAGAGUAGUUUAAUAACUCCUGCAAAUUUUAAGAUGUAAAAGCAUGUAGAGCUAUUAUGAUACUUACAUCUUAUACAACUGUUGUACAGCUUUGAGAAAAGCCCUUAGCCACCUGGCCACUCUAUGGGAAAUACUAACCGAAUUCCACUGGAACAGGAGAGGGAGGGAUGGUUAUAAUAAAACCAUCCCUCCCUCUCAGUCUAUCACUCAUGUUCAAGCUGUCCCUCAUUAAAAGCAGUCUGAGAAUGCUGAUAAGUCUCGUAUCAGCUCUAAAGGUUUACAAAUCUGAAUAUCCACUGCCUAGUGAAGAGAUUUCCCAGAGCAGAUCAUCUUUCAGACAUCUUUUAGACUUUCAUCCUGAAGUCACUUCUAUUUUAAGGCAAAAGAAGGAUUCCUCAUAUGUCCCACAAAAACAUUGGGUAUAGAUUUCAUACUGAUUGCUCAGAACUCCUCACAAAUCUUCAAGGUGCCCAAGACUAAGAGGGGUCAAGGCAGAGCUGCUUUGGGACAGCUUUCUGCCCUACGUCAUGUAAGGUAACACCAGAAUAUUCCCAGCCAAGGGGCUUGGCCACUGUGGGCUUGUUCAAGGAGAAAGGGCAGGCCAUUGUUCACUCUGCAUAGAUGAGAUGAGAGAGUUGAAGGAUAACUAAGGCAGAUCAUGGUUAAAAGUUAGUAAGGACUGGUCAAAGAGGUGAGGAGGAAUGAGUAACAAGCAGGGGGGCUGGAGUUGAAAGAAGUUUGCUUUAAUAAAGCUACCUCACGGUAUGGAUGACAAAACUACGUGGAAAACAGCCCCAGCAAAGCUAGAGGAGAAAGAAGGUUGCUCCUACUGGGGACAGUGAAGAUACCAUACCUGAUACUUCCGUGCUAAUGCAAGGUCUGGCUUUGCAAAGGCUUGUAACAUCAGAUUGGUUUUUUGGCCCAAAUAGUUGUAUGUACUGCCAAAAAAACCCAAACCAAAAAUAGCAUCAGUAAAUACAAAGGGGGAACUUAGAACCACUGACACAAAAGAUUCAGUAGCCACACACUCUCUGUUGACAUUAUAAGAAUGCCGUUAUUAUAACAGAAAUUCAUGCAAUCUAUGUGUGGUUUAUACUGUCAAGCAUCUGAAAUAUGCCAAGCCCUACAGAAGAGUUUAAGGAGCAGAUUUCUCUUCCCAGUUCUUUCCAAAUGGAACUGAUCUUCAAAAUUAAAAAUAAAAGAAGCAAUUAGACAAUACGGAAAGUCAAUCACUUAAUUUUCCAGUUGCUUUUUCAUUUAACAGAUCAUUACUUAAGAACACAGAUAUCAUGCAGUAAUUCAUCCGAGCAGCGUGGUAUGAGGGGCAGAAGACAAAUCAGAAAUAAAACUCAGCAGGGCCCUUUUCCUCACAGGCUUCUCGUGAACUAACGUAAAUGAUUUUAACCUCUUUGAGUUUUGGUUCCUUACCCAUAUAAAGAAGAUAAAAGGGAUUCCCUACUUCAAAAAGCUGCCAUGAGGGUAAAGAAAUACAUUGAAACCAUUGGGUCAUCUUACAGACUGCAGCAAUAAUCACCCAAACUAACAUACUCCCAAAUCCCAGAUUAUACAACUGUCCCGUGGCUAGCACUGGAGCUAGCUUGUCUUUCUGCUUGCUACCUGCCUUACCCUGCAAAAUCCUCCAUUGCUGUGACAGAGGACAGUUAGAGAAAUACUGUGUAGGUAGUAGAAGAUACAACAAUAAAGUGUGUGUGUGUUGCAGGGAAGGAGACCAAGCCAUACUGACCUUCCAACUGCUCCAUCUGCCCCUAUUGCCAGUGCACUCAACAGUUGCUAGUUUGGGGUGGGGGGAGGAAAAAAAACAAAACAAAACACAUUUUUACUUCAUGUAACAAAAAAUAAAAACGAAAAGAGUGGUGGGAGGGAGAAGGAAAAACUACCUGGCACUGAAAGUCCAGGGUUGCUUUUUUCCCCAAGGCUGAAGCAAGAGAAUGCCACAGAAGAAAUAAUUUCUAAGAGGAGCUUCUUACCUCAUCCACCCCAUAAAGAAACACAAACUCUUCUCUCUCAUUCUUGUUUAUACACUGUGCAAGGUCCAAGAGGUCUGUGUCACUGAACUUCACGCCCUGGAAGGUGGGGAUCUGCUCUUUUAUUCCAUCCAGCAACUCUUCAACACGAACUGUGCAGAACAGCAAUCUUAUAUGAAGGAACACACCCGUUCUGGAAGGUUUCCCUGUCUUGGCCCCGAGAGGAAGACUUACUAUUUCACAAGUUGUUCACUUUUGGCCUAAGUCUAAUAAACUAUAUAGCUCUAAAAGAACCGGUAAGACAACUUCAGGGUGAUUAUUCCCCAGAGUUAUACAAAAGACAUCUUUCCACCCUCUUUGAAGCACUCCUUUUACCAGAUCAGAAGGGAAAAACCCUGGAUAAGUGAAAGUUUAUGAAUAAACUGGCAACAACAUAUUUGAGAAUAAAUAUACAUCCAGAAACACCAUAUAACCUGCUGUCGAGGGCAAGUAACCACAGAUCUGUGCUCUAUUCCCUAUUCCUCUGCUAAAUAAUAGGACUUGGGAAGCACUGUAGUUUCACAUGUAAUUUACUAGCAAAAAUGACUAUGGAGUCAGCAUACACCAAGAGAGGUGGUGGUAACUACCUUGCAAAAAAAAAAAAAUAA
Phalacrocorax carbo (great cormorant) is the source of this 5122-nucleotide non-coding RNA. The record is from RefSeq and is a predicted model, not a curated record. NCBI's taxonomy places the organism in Eukaryota, Metazoa, Chordata, Aves, Suliformes, Phalacrocoracidae.